RNAcentral lists this transfer RNA (77 nucleotides) under Candidatus Woykebacteria bacterium RBG_19FT_COMBO_43_10. RNAcentral's name for it is "tRNA-Arg". It matches the Rfam family "tRNA". Rfam says of the family: Transfer RNA (tRNA) molecules are approximately 80 nucleotides in length. Their secondary structure includes four short double-helical elements and three loops (D, anti-codon, and T loops). Further hydrogen bonds mediate the characteristic L-shaped molecular structure. tRNAs have two regions of fundamental functional importance: the anti-codon, which is responsible for specific mRNA codon recognition, and the 3' end, to which the tRNAs corresponding amino acid is attached (by aminoacyl-tRNA synthetases). tRNAs cope with the degeneracy of the genetic code in two manners: having more than one tRNA (with a specific anti-codon) for a particular amino acid; and 'wobble' base-pairing, i.e. permitting non-standard base-pairing at the 3rd anti-codon position. Lineage: Bacteria; Candidatus Woykeibacteriota. The record is from RNAcentral.
GCGCUCGUAGCUCAAUCGGAUAGAGCAUCAGCUUGCGGAGCUGGAGGUUGAGAGUUCGAGUCUCUCCGAGCGCGCCA